Molecule: ribosomal RNA, 301 nt
Filed under: uncultured bacterium
Lineage: Bacteria
Description: partial 16S ribosomal RNA
Rfam family: Bacterial small subunit ribosomal RNA
Source: RNAcentral
CAGUCGCCGCGGGAAUACGUAGGUCCCGAGCGUUGUCCGGAUUUAUUGGGCGUAAAGCGAGCGCAGGCGGUUAGAUAAGUCUGAAGUUAAAGGCUGUGGCUCAACCAUAGUUCGCUUUGGAAACUGUCAAGCUUGAGUGCAGAAGGGGAGAGAGGAAUUCCAUGUGUAGCGGUGAAAUGCGUAGAUAUAUGGAGGAACACCGGUGGCGAAAGCGGCUCUCUGGUCUGUAACUGACGCUGAGGCUCGAAAGCGUGGGGAGCGAACAGGAUUAGAUACCCGUGUAGUCCCUGUCUCUUAUACA